RNAcentral lists this ribosomal RNA (1342 nucleotides) under uncultured bacterium. RNAcentral's name for it is "16S ribosomal RNA". It matches the Rfam family "Bacterial small subunit ribosomal RNA", at positions 28 to 1378 of the family's 1533-position model. The record is from RNAcentral.
GACGAACGCUGGCGGCGUGCUUGACACAUGCAAGUCGAACGGAAAGGCCCUGCUUUUGUGGGGUGCUCGAGUGGCGAACGGGUGAGUAACACGUGAGUAACCUGCCCUUGACUUUGGGAUAACUUCAGGAAACUGGGGCUAAUACCGGAUAGGAGCUCCUGCUGCAUGGUGGGGGUUGGAAAGUUUCGGCGGUUGGGGAUGGACUCGCGGCUUAUCAGCUUGUUGGUGGGGUAGUGGCUUACCAAGGCUUUGACGGGUAGCCGGCCUGAGAGGGUGACCGGCCACAUUGGGACUGAGAUACGGCCCAGACUCCUACGGGUGGCAGCAGUGGGGAAUAUUGCACAAUGGGCGGAAGCCUGAUGCAGCAACGCCGCGUGCGGGAUGACGGCCUUCGGGUUGUAAACCGCUUUCGCCUGUGACGAAGCGUGAGUGACGGUAAUGGGUAAAGAAGCACCGGCUAACUACGUGCCAGCAGCCGCGGUGAUACGUAGGGUGCGAGCGUUGUCCGGAUUUAUUGGGCGUAAGGGCUCGUAGGUGGUUGAUCGCGUCGGAAGUGUAAUCUUGGGGCUUAACCCUGAGCGUGCUUUCGAUACGGGUUGACUUGAGGAAGGUAGGGGAGAAUGGAAUUCCUGGUGGAGCGGUGGAAUGCGCAGAUAUCAGGAGGAACACCAGUGGCGAAGGCGGUUCUCUGGGCCUUUCCUGACGCUGAGGAGCGAAAGCGUGGGGAGCGAACAGGCUUAGAUACCCUGGUAGUCCACGCUGUAAACGGUGGGUACUAGGUGUGGGGUCCAUUCCACGGGUUCCGUGCCGUAGCUAACGCUUUAAGUACCCCGCCUGGGGAGUACGGCCGCAAGGCUAAAACUCAAAGGAAUUGACGGGGCCCCGCACAAGCGGCGGAGCAUGCGGAUUAAUUCGAUGCAACGCGUAGAACCUUACCUGGGUUUGACAUGGAUCGGGAGUGCUCAGAGAUGGGUGUGCCUCUUUUGGGGUCGGUUCACAGGUGGUGCAUGGCUGUCGUCAGCUCGUGUCGUGAGAUGUUGGGUUAAGUCCCGCAACGAGCGCAACCCUUGUUCACUGUUGCCAGCACGUUAUGGUGGGGACUCAGUGGAGACCGCCGGGGUCAACUCGGAGGAAGGUGGGGAUGACGUCAAGUCAUCAUGCCCCUUAUGUCCAGGGCUUCACGCAUGCUACAAUGGCUGGUACAGAGAGUGGCGAGCCUGUGAGGGUGAGCGAAUCUCGGAAAGCCGGUCUCAGUUCGGAUUGGGGUCUGCAACUCGACCUCAUGAAGUCGGAGUCGCUAGUAAUCGCAGAUCAGCAACGCUGCGGUGAAUACGUUCCCGGG